This 478-nucleotide ribosomal RNA is filed under the name uncultured bacterium. Its description in RNAcentral is "partial 16S ribosomal RNA". It matches the Rfam family "Bacterial small subunit ribosomal RNA", at positions 28 to 507 of the family's 1533-position model. The record is from RNAcentral.
GAUGAACGCUGGCGGCGUGCCUAACACAUGCAAGUCGAACGGAGUCCAGCCUGUAAGACCUUCGGGUCAAAGAGGGGAAGACUGAGUGGCGGACGGGUGAGUAACACGUGGGCAACCUGGCUCAUAGAGGGGGAUAACAGAGAGAAAUUUCUGCUAAUACCGCAUAAGCACACACUGCCGCAUGGCAGAGGGUGAAAAGAGAAUCGCUAUGAGAUGGACCCGCGUCUGAUUAGCCAGUUGGCAGGGUAAGAGCCUACCAAAGCGACGAUCAGUAGCCGAUCUGAGAGGAUGAACGGCCACAUUGGGACUGAGACACGGCCCAAACUCCUACGGGAGGCAGCAGUGGGGGAUAUUGCACAAUGGGGGGAACCCUGAUGCAGCGACGCCGCGUGAGUGAAGAAGUAUUUCGGUAUGUAAAGCUCUAUCAGCAGGGAAGAUAAUGACAGUACCUGAAUAAGAAGCCCCGGCUAACUACGUG